UACCGUGGGAAAAUCUGAGCCAAAGUGUCCCGAGGACACAUUUUCCCACUUGACUCUCCUCUGGACUUUCUCACUGUUCUGUUUUCUUUCGUUUCUUUCAUUGAACUGUUGACUUGCUUUGUUUUCUGGUGAUUUGCAGGUUCACGCAGGUAGUAGAAGAAGCUAGAAAAAGCUGGAGGUGAAGAGGAAGAAGGAGCAGAACAAGAAGUCAAAGGAGAAGAAUCUGACUGGGAACCUUGGCGCUAGAGUGCCGUGUGAAGGCGGCAGGACGGUCGGGAACCAAGAGGUGAACCUCCGGCUAGGCGAAAAUACCCAACAGUGGUAUCAGAGCCAUGGUAACCUAGCCGGGGCACCCUCCGACCGCACCUCCUUCACCCCGCCGCCCCUUCGGGCUGCGCCGAUUCGCUCCCGACGAGCAAGGAUAAAGGUAGGACCGGUCUCUCCCCUUCCUGGGAGAGACGGCUCAGGUAAAGUGGCUGGUGACUCUGAACUCCCUAGUGUUAGGGUUGGUUUUCUGCUUUGGUGUGUGAGCUUUGUUCAUGUGCACUCUGUUCUAGUCUAAGUGCUCUCUGCGCUGGUGUGCCUACUCUGGCUUCUUGUGUGCGCUCUGCUCUAGUUUCUGUGAGCUAUGCUCUGAUGUGAUUGCUCUCUGCUCUGGCGAGACUACUCUGUUCUGCUCUGGUGUUGUGUUCUCUGGUCUGGUCAUAGCGUUCUAUGUUCUGGUAUCUUGCGAUCCUGUUGUCUCUGUUGUUUCUGUGCUUCCGCGUUGCUGUGUGUGCUUUCUAUUGUUAACCCUUGGCAUUCAAGGCCUGUGAUAGGACUCUUUUGUGACGGUCCAGUUCGUCUGGAUUCCCUUUAAAGGGUCUCCUCGUGCGAGUACUCUGGAUAGCAAAAGAGAAAGGGUUGACUUUUAGAUCUUUGCUUUUGGUGUGUUUAGCUCUGCUCUGCUGCUCUACUCUAGUGUGUGCGGUUCUGCUCUGUGGUCUGACUGACCUGUGAGAAAGUGUGUUUGUUUAAAGUGUUGCUUUUGCUUGAAUCAUGAAUAAUGAGCAUAUGGUUCUUUUUGAUGGAAGGGAUGUUGUGUUUAAAGAACAAAUUUUUCCAUGUUUGCUUGAAUCCUCACAAUCUGCUGCUCCAAGUGAGGUGGAGAAACUGAAACCCUUUCUUCAAGAAAGGUAUGAGUUUAUGUGUACCCCCUCUAUCCAUUUUGAGGUGGAUCCUGAACCUAAGGUGCAGCCUGAACCUGAAAUUCUGCAUGAUAAAUGUUUGCCAGCUGCUAAACUGGAAUCCUGCGUGAAAAUUUUGAAAAUUGGUCGUUGGCUGAGCUUUACUCUAUGUUGGUAUGUCACGAGUUCUGCUCUGAGUUUGAGCUCUGCUCUGCUCUACGUGUCUACUCUGAGCUCUGCUCUUAGUCUGUUCCGUGCUCUGUUGUGUACUGUGUCGAGCUCUGCUCUGUAUGUUUUUGUCUCUACUCUGUGUGUUGAGCUCUGUGUUCUGGUCUGUUGUCCUCUGGUCUGCUCUGUGUCUUCGUGUUUUGAGCUCCGCUCUGUCUAGUUGAGCUCUGCUCUGAGUUUGUUUUGUGACUUUGUGUGUGCCUUGUGAGUCUGAGCUCCGUGCUCUGCUCUGUGAGUCUGCUUGCUCUGUGUUCUGUGUUAUGUCUGUUACUCUGCUCUGCCCCAUGUUUGUGUGUUCUGCAUGUGUUUUCUUUUGCUCUGAGUGUCUUAUCUGUUGUGAGCUCUGCUCUGGUCUUUCUGUUUGCUCUGCUUUGUAUGUUUUGCCACUGCAUGUGUGUGUGGUCUGUUGAGUCUUCAAUGAUAACCCUUUGGGUUUGAGAAUGUGGUUAUUACCUUUGGGUUGGUCUCUGUGGUGUAGAGACUGAGUUAAAUAUGUAUAAUAUUUUUCUCACCCUCUAUUGUCUUGUCUUUGUGAUAGGAUGAUAGUAAAAAUGGCUGUGAUGAUAAAGCUUGAAUCAAAGGCUGGCUCUUCCCUGGUGACUUAAUGAUCAUUGUGCCAAAGGUGGAAUGUGGAGCGUUGGCCCAACUAUCACUUAAUCCCCCCCCAACGCCCCAAGCCCAAGCCCAUCCCCUUUACACCCUAAGUCCAAAUCAGCCCCCCCCAUUUCAUCACUCCCCUGCGCCGCUCCUCUCUCUCCCCCCCCGAGACCCUUGAUCUGCUGAUCUCUCGAGCUUCCCCCCACCAUUAAUGGCUGCCCCAUUUUGUCUUCCCACCUGCCUUUUGCUCGACCUCUAUUAAUUCCCGCUGUAUUGGCUUUCCAUUUGAGGGAGUUUUACACACUGAUUGACCGGAAGGCUCUGCUAUUCCUUCCCGAAGUGUCGCCGGAUUCCUGUUGAUGGUUUCCUGAUUGGUGACUGUGUGUGUGAACCUCGCUCCGAUUGAUUGCGUGUAUCGCCGGAUUCCUGACCGUUGGAUUCCUGUUUGGUGAUACACUGUGGGUUUGAUGGCCGUUCAACUGAGAUCUUGAGUGCCGAUUGUUCUCCAUGUUUCCCUGAGCCUUGAUCAUUGAGCUGCCGGAAGAAGUCGUGCCUACCGUGGGAAAAUCUGAGCCAAAGUGUCCCGAGGACACAUUUUCCCACUUGACUCUCCUAUGGACUUUCUCACUGUUCUGUUUUCUUUCGUUUCUUUCAUUGAACUGUUGACUUGCUUUGUUUUCUGGUGAUUUGCAGGUUCACGCAGGUAGUAGAAGAAGCUAGAAAAAGCUGGAGGUGAAGAGGAAGAAGGAGCAGAACAAGAAGUCAAAGGAGAAGAAUCUGACUGGGAACCUUGGCGCUAGAGUGCCGUGUGAAGGCGGCAGGACGGUCGGGAACCAAG
RNAcentral lists this long non-coding RNA (2829 nucleotides) under Salvia miltiorrhiza (redroot sage). RNAcentral's name for it is "long non-coding RNA (SMIL_LNC009108)". The record is from RNAcentral. Lineage: Eukaryota; Viridiplantae; Streptophyta; Magnoliopsida; Lamiales; Lamiaceae.